Molecule: Y RNA, 101 nt
Rfam family: Y RNA
About the family: Y RNAs are components of the Ro ribonucleoprotein particle (Ro RNP), in association with Ro60 and La proteins.
Source: Ensembl
GGCUGGCCCGAGUGCAGUGGUGUCUACAAUUCAUUGACCACAGUCAGUUACAGAUUUCUUUGUUCUUUCUCCACUCUACUGCUUCACUUCACUAGACUUAA